UACGUAGGCAGCGAGCGUUGUUCGGAAUUACUGGGCGUAAAGAGUGUGUAGGCGGUGCUCUAAGUUCGGUGUGAAAUCUCCCGGCUUAACUGGGGGGGUGCGCCGGAAACUGGAGUGCUCGAGCGUGGGAGAGGAAAGCGGAAUUCCUGGUGUAGCGGUGAAAUGCGUAGAUAUCAGGAGGAACACCUGCGGUGUAGACGGCUUUCUGGACCAUUGCUGACGCUGAGACACGAAAGCGUGGGUAGCAAACAGG
This 253-nucleotide ribosomal RNA is filed under the name uncultured bacterium. RNAcentral describes it as "partial 16S ribosomal RNA". It matches the Rfam family "Bacterial small subunit ribosomal RNA", at positions 524 to 776 of the family's 1533-position model. The record is from RNAcentral.